Gossypium raimondii (Peruvian cotton) is the source of this 843-nucleotide RNA transcript. RefSeq lists it as uncharacterized. The transcript has 9 exons. Lineage: Eukaryota; Viridiplantae; Streptophyta; Magnoliopsida; Malvales; Malvaceae. The record is from RefSeq and is a predicted model, not a curated record.
AUUUUAUAAAAAUUCCCCCUCCGAAAUCCCCAACUUUCCCCCUAAAAUUCCUAAUCCCAACUUUCCCCCCUCCGAAACGUCUUUUUCUUGUUCCUUACUAAUGCAACAUAUUAUGUUUUUUAUAUGAUUAAUUUUUUCGAAAACACUGUCAUGGCUAUGCAAACCGGAGUAGGUUUGUCGAAGAUCUUGAUCUUAGCCGGCGCCGGUUAUACGGGUACUGUCCUCCUGAAAAACGGUAAAUUAUUGGACAUAUUAGGCGAAUUGCAGUCACUGGUGAAGGGACUCGAAAAAUCGGGGGAGCAAGCUAAUGAUUCAGAUGCACUUCUAGCUCAGGUGCGUCGUUUGUCAACGGGAAUGGGGAUUCUGGCGGAAAAGUACGUAUUCAAACACACCCGGCCAAAAAGACUAAAAUCACUUAGAAUUUAUGAGUCACAUGUUGGAAUGAGUAGCCCAGAUGAAGAUUCAUUUAUGAUAUGUAUAAGUGUGCGAAGAGGUUACCUGCUCGGAUGACUAGUUAGAUCAGAUAGCUUUCUUGAUUUUUACUUAAACAACAUUGUGAAGUUGAUUGUUCUGGCAAUUAUCAUCUUUGAAAUCGACGGCAAGGAUUUACAUUAGUUAAAAAAGGAUUAGGACCUUAUUCAACCAGCAUAAAAAAAGUUGAAAAGGAGAUCAAGGAGAUGGCAAAGAAAGUAAACGAUUUAUGUGGUACUGAUGUAUCUUCUUUCAAAUGCAAGAUGGUGGCUGGAGGAGUAUAAGUUUUAUGGGUACAGAUUUGAUGGUGUGACUUCAAUGAUGUACAAGAUUUUCUUGAUUAAGUAAAUGUAUUAUAUCUUUUAUUACCAA